RNAcentral lists this ribosomal RNA (388 nucleotides) under uncultured bacterium. RNAcentral's name for it is "bacterial SSU rRNA". It matches the Rfam family "Bacterial small subunit ribosomal RNA", at positions 30 to 416 of the family's 1533-position model. The record is from RNAcentral.
AUUGAACGCUGGCGGCAUGCCUUACACAUGCAAGUCGAACGGCAGCACGGGAGCUUGCUCCUGGUGGCGAGUGGCGAACGGGUGAGUAAUACAUCGGAACGUACCCUGAAGUGGGGGAUAACGUAGCGAAAGUUACGCUAAUACCGCAUAUUCUGUGAGCAGGAAAGAGGGGGAUCGCAAGACCUCUUGCUUUAGGAGCGGCCGAUGUCGGAUUAGCUAGUCGGUGAGGUAAAGGCUCACCAAGGCGACGAUCCGUAGCGGGUCUGAGAGGAUGAUCCGCCACACUGGGACUGAGACACGGCCCAGACUCCUACGGGAGGCAGCAGUGGGGAAUUUUGGACAAUGGGCGCAAGCCUGAUCCAGCCAUGCCGCGUGAGUGAAGAAGGCC